AAACCAGCACCUCAAGUGGUCAGGAUGAUUAUUGGGCCUAAAGCAUCCGUAGCCUGUUCUGUAAGUUUUCGGUUAAAUCUGUACGCUCAACGUACAGGCUGCUGGGAAUACUGCAGAACUAGGGAGUGGGAGAGAUAGACGGUACUCGGGAGGAAGUGGUAAAAUGCUUUGAUCUCUCGAUGACCACCUGUGGCGAAGGCGGUCUACCAGAACACGUCCGACGGUGAGGGAUGAAAGCUGGGGAGCAAACCGGAUUAGAAACCCCGGUAGUCC
Molecule: ribosomal RNA, 273 nt
Filed under: uncultured bacterium
Lineage: Bacteria
Description: partial 16S ribosomal RNA
Rfam family: Archaeal small subunit ribosomal RNA
Source: RNAcentral